Molecule: non-coding RNA, 188 nt
Organism: Oryza glumipatula
Lineage: Eukaryota; Viridiplantae; Streptophyta; Magnoliopsida; Poales; Poaceae
Source: Rfam
ACUAUCUCCGUCCUAGGAAGACCGCAGUCUAACAUUUGACCGUCCGUAUUAUUUGAAAAAAAAUUAUGAUUAGUAUUUUUAUUGUUAUUAGAUGAUAAAACAUGGACUAAUUUUUUUAAUUUUUUCAUAAAAUAUUAAAUAAGAUGAUCGGUCAAACGUGGACAUAAAAAUCUACAACUACACUUAAA